This 299-nucleotide unclassified non-coding RNA is filed under the name plant metagenome. Its description in RNAcentral is "partial contains 5.8S ribosomal RNA, internal transcribed spacer 2, and large subunit ribosomal RNA". The stretch from base 1 to 105 matches the Rfam family "5.8S ribosomal RNA", at positions 50 to 154 of the family's 154-position model. The record is from RNAcentral.
GAAAUGCGAUAAGUAAUGUGAAUUGCAGAAUUCAGUGAAUCAUCGAAUCUUUGAACGCACAUUGCGCCCCCUGGUAUUCCGGGGGGCAUGCCUGUUCGAGCGUCAUUUCACCACUCAAGCCUCGCUUGGUAUUGGGCGACGCGGUCCGCCGCGCGCCUCAAAUCGACCGGCUGGGUCUUUCGUCCCCUCAGCGUUGUGGAAACUAUUCGCUAAAGGGUGCCGCGGGAGGCCACGCCGUAAAACAACCCCAUUUCUAAGGUUGACCUCGGAUCAGGUAGGGAUACCCGCUGAACUUAGGC